GAUGAACGCUGGCGGCGUGCUUAACACAUGCAAGUCGAACGGAAAGGCUCCUGCUUGCAGGGGUACUCGAGUGGCGAACGGGUGAGUAACACGUGGGUGAUCUGCCCUGCACUUCGGGAUAAGCCUGGGAAACUGGGUCUAAUACCGGAUAGGACCACAUUUUGGAUGGUGUGGUGGAAAGUUUUUCGGUGUGGGAUGAGCUCGCGGCCUAUCAGCUUGUUGGUGGGGUAAUGGCCUACCAAGGCGUCGACGGGUAGCCGGCCUGAGAGGGUGUACGGCCACAUUGGGACUGAGAUACGGCCCAGACUCCUACGGGAGGCAGCAGUGGGGAAUAUUGCACAAUGGGCGCAAGCCUGAUGCAGCGACGCCGCGUGGGGGAUGACGGCCUUCGGGUUGUAAACUCCUUUCGCUAGGGACGAAGCGCAAGUGACGGUACCUGGAGAAGUAGCACCGGCUAACUACGUG
RNAcentral lists this ribosomal RNA (465 nucleotides) under uncultured bacterium. Its description in RNAcentral is "partial 16S ribosomal RNA". It matches the Rfam family "Bacterial small subunit ribosomal RNA", at positions 28 to 507 of the family's 1533-position model. The record is from RNAcentral.